UUCCUACGGGAGGCAGCAGGGGGGAAUAUUGGACAAUGGGGGGAACCCUGAUCCAGCCAUGCCGCGUGUGUGAAGAAGGCCUUAUGGUUGUAAAGCACUUUAAGCGAGGAGGAGGCUCUUUUGGUUAAUACCCAAGAUGAGUGGACGUUACUCGCAGAAUAAGCACCGGCUAACUCUGUGCCAGCAGCCGCGGUAAUACAGAGGGUGCGAGCGUUAAUCGGAUUUACUGGGCGUAAAGCGUGCGUAGGCGGCUUUUUAAGUCGGAUGUGAAAUCCCCGAGCUUAACUUGGGAAUUGCAUUCGAUACUGGGAAGCUAGAGUAUGGGAGAGGAUGGUAGAAUUCCAGGUGUAGCGGUGAAAUGCGUAGAGAUCUGGAGGAAUACCGAUGGCGAAGGCAGCCAUCUGGCCUAAUACUGACGCUGAGGUACGAAAGCAUGGGGAGCAAACAGGAUUAGAUACCCUGGUAGUCCAUGCCGUAAACGAUGUCUACUAGCCGUUGGGGUCUUUGAGACUUUAGUGGCGCAGCUAACGCGAUAAGUAGACCGCCUGGGGAGUACGGUCGCAAGACUAAAACUCAAAUGAAUUGACGG
Molecule: ribosomal RNA, 589 nt
Filed under: uncultured Acinetobacter sp.
Lineage: Bacteria; Pseudomonadati; Pseudomonadota; Gammaproteobacteria; Moraxellales; Moraxellaceae
Description: bacterial SSU rRNA
Rfam family: Bacterial small subunit ribosomal RNA
Source: RNAcentral